RNAcentral lists this ribosomal RNA (497 nucleotides) under uncultured bacterium. RNAcentral's name for it is "partial 16S ribosomal RNA". It matches the Rfam family "Bacterial small subunit ribosomal RNA", at positions 28 to 507 of the family's 1533-position model. The record is from RNAcentral.
GAUGAACGCUGGCGGCGUGCCUAAUACAUGCAAGUCGAGCGAACAGAUAAGGAGCCUGCUCCUUUGACGUUAGCGGCGGACGGGUGAGUAACACGUGGGUAACCUACCUAUAAGACUGGAAUAACUCCGGGAAACCGGGGUUAAUGCCGGAUAACAUUUAGAACCGCAUGGUUCUAAAGUGAAAGAUGGUUUUGCUAUCACUUAUAGAUGGACCCGCGCCGUAUUAGCUAGUUGGUAAGGUAACGGCUUACCAAGGCAACGAUACGUAGCCGACCUGAGAGGGUGAUCGGCCACACUGGAACUGAGACACGGUCCAGACUCCUACGGGAGGCAGCAGUAGGGAAUCUUCCGCAAUGGGCGAAAGCCUGACGGAGCAACGCCGCGUGAGUGAUGAAGGUCUUCGGAUCGUAAAACUCUGUUAUUAGGGAAGAACAAAUGUGUAAGUAACUGUGCACGUCUUGACGGUACCUAAUCAGAAAGCCACGGCUAACUACGUG